This 253-nucleotide ribosomal RNA is filed under the name uncultured bacterium. RNAcentral's name for it is "partial 16S ribosomal RNA". It matches the Rfam family "Bacterial small subunit ribosomal RNA", at positions 524 to 776 of the family's 1533-position model. The record is from RNAcentral.
UACGUAGGGGGCAAGCGUUGUCCGGAUUUAUUGGGCGUAAAGAGCGUGUAGGCGGCCACACAGGUCUGCUGUGAAAACUCGAGGCUCAACCUCGAGCUGUGGGUGGAAACCGUGUGGCUAGAGUCCGGAAGAGGAGAGUGGAAUUCCCGGUGUAGCGGUGAAAUGCGCAGAUAUCGGGAGGAACACCGGUGGCGAAGGCGGUUCUCUGGGCCUUACCUGACGCUGAGGAGCGAAAGCGUGGGGAGCGAACAGG